Molecule: long non-coding RNA, 3865 nt
Organism: Falco peregrinus (peregrine falcon)
Lineage: Eukaryota; Metazoa; Chordata; Aves; Falconiformes; Falconidae
Exons: 4
Source: RefSeq, a predicted model, not a curated record
UGUGGUCUCCAGCCCCCUCGGGGAGGCACCUGCGGGUGCAGGCUGGGCUUUUCUGGAGCAUGAUGAAUGGAAAUGUGUCUUGCCUGGAGGCUGGCGGGGCUGCAGGAGCUCAGAGCUGGAGGAUGCAGUAUCCCACUAUAUCAGUUGCUUUAGUGAGAGAAACCUUAAUUGCCCCCUACUCAAAACUAAAAACAAAACUCAAAAAUAUCCCCAAACAAAUCAAACCUAAAAUAAUGUUUUAGGUAAACAUCUAAGAAUCUAAACCAAGUGUAGUGUGGUUUAGGGAAGGCCAAGUUUCUGUAGGUAUUUAUCUGUGCACAUGAAUCUUACAGUAAAAAACCCUGUGUAUUUACAGAUAGAAGAUUCCUGUAGUUACAUAUUUUUUUUUAUCAUGAUCCUGAUUUGCCUUCAAAAAUGAGCUCUUCUGCAAGUGCAGUCUUAUGCCUUUCUCUUCUCCCACCCCAAAGUUUUACUUCUGGUGUUGCAUGUUGGUUCCUCUUUACCUCCUGUUUGCUUGUAACUCAUGUUGUGGAGGUUAAUUUUGGCAGUGCUGUUUCCCCAGUGUGGUGCAGUUUCACGGCUGGGGCAGUCUUGGGGGAAUUGCAUUGAGAUCUUCCCCGCUGUGUGGUGGACAUCCAUCGUGCCAGCCCUGAACCCAGCACAUCCCUCCGUGCCGUUACGCAGCCCAACAGCAUUCACUUUUGUCAUCACUGCAAAUGGUAGAUGCUCUGAAGCUGAUGAUAAUUCAUCAAAACCCAGCAUUAACCUUAGCAAUUUAUUUUGUUCUGCUUUCCUAGGCAACCAAAUUUUAAACAAAUCCAUUUUUCUCAAUGUGGACCGUCCUAUUUGACUGUUGGAAACAUUGCUACAAAUAAAACUAUGCUGAGAACAUAAUAAAGUUGGUCUAGAAUUCAUUUAAAAUUCAGGUGAUGAAAGGUCACCUAUUAAGCAAGCUAAUCCUUUCUUUUUCUUUUUUUUUUGCACGCCUCAAUGAAAAAAUUUAUAUUUCUGCUAUGAAAUUAAUAUCUAGCCUCACCUAAAAUCGAAGUAUUUUGAAACAGUGUUUUUGGUUUUUUUCACCAUUAUUCCAGAGCCGUUGAAUGUGUUCAAACUUGAAGUAUGAUCUAAACUAGCCAGAUAUUUCUACCUCCACACACCUGCAAUGAUGCUUGAGUAUGCCAGCCUUCCCAUCGAGUCUGGUGUGUAACUUAGUUAUAUUCAAUAGCGAUCUACACUUACACUGUUACUGAUGCUGUAGCGCAUGACCUACUGCAAGUCAGGCUGAAUGAUCUGUCACAAGGGUAACAAUCCAUAUAGAUGAAAAGGGUGCAUAUACUGGGAGUGGCUUUCAGGUGACCAAGAGCCCUGCCAGCCUGGGGACUGGGAUGGGAUUGCCAGCCCAGGGGCUACACAGAGUGUUGACACCCCUUUUCCUCCUUUUUUCUUUGUGGGAACAGGUUUGUAUCUCUGGUACGGAGAGUUGCUCUUUACAGGUCUGAGAUUUUCCUUUUGUGGUUAUGCACGGCUUUUGAGAACAUGCCUUUCCUUUGAAUUUGGAUGUAGUUCUUAGGUAAAAAGUAAUUUGUUACAGAAUUUAAUAUGGCAGGGAAUUAUUCAGACACCAGCUUUAUCUGUAUGGCAAAUCAGCUUGGGCGCAUCCUUCCCACAACAGCCCUUAUUUCAAAACUCAGCUUUUUUUUUUUUUUUUUUUUCCUGGUAUUGCUAAAACUUCACCAAACAAGGACCCUGUGGAUAAGGUGUUGUGUCUUGCUGCUGAGGAGUCAUCACUAAAUAAAUCAGGCUAAUUCAGGAGUGAGCGAGGCUGUCCCAGAACCGCUGUGAGCUUCCUCUGCAUAGGGAGGAUGGACACCUACGCCUGCCUUCUUCAGGUACCAACGAUCUUGGAAAUAAUCAUGGGCAAAGGUUCUCAAAUGGAAAAAACAUAUUUUAUCCUCCCAACAGGCAGGAGCACACCCGAUGCCAGCGAAGCAAGGACUGCAGUUUGUGAAGCUCUGGGCAGACACUUGCUUACACAUCCCGGCUCCUUGCUUUUUGGUCUUGGACUCAGGGUAGGAUCUAUGCUUGGAAAACCGCAGAUUCUUGAUCUGAACCAUGGCUUUGUAGAUUAAGGCACUUUGUUUUGUUCUGAACAAGACGACUGAAGAUAACACCCCAGUUCCAUGUAAAGCUUCCUCCUUUUUUUCAUCUUGAGUUUAACAUUGGAUCAACGUGAUUUUUUUUAAUGCAAAGAGUGGAUGCUACUCCUAACACUUUUUCAUUGUUUUCCAUUAACUAUAUACACAAAAUCCGUUUUUUUCUAAGUCCUGAGAAACCUUAGGCUUUCUAUGACAUGCUGUUUGGGGAGCCCAGGGCAUGCACUUUGGGGGUUUCUUUGAUUCUGCUAUUCACACUUCUAUACAACACAGUGGUAAAAAACCUCUCCAACAACUUUAUUAGCAUUAAUAUGAAAUACUAUGUCUAACAUAAUGAUUUCCUUCUUUAUUUCUUUAGUCUGAAAACAAACGUGAUACAUCUCCCUUGAAGCUUCAAAUCAAUAACCUAAAGUAAUUGCUUCUCAUAAAUGGGUUUCAGGACUGAUGCUGAUAUUUCAAAGUGUGACUUUUCUUCUCUUGCUAAAUAAAAUAAUGCUGAUUUUAUAGCAAAAACUCUUACCAGCAGGGUGCAAGCUUCUGCAACUUCCAUUUUAAGGUGGAAGACUGGGGUCUGGGGGCGUGUGUGUUCUGUUUCAGACGAUAUAAGUUAUUUGUGUAACAAUGGAAAAAUUUCAUUUCUCUUUUUUACUUAAAUUUAACUCUUCAUUGAAGGUGCAUAGUAAUGUUUGCCUUGCCUGUGAGCUGAAACAUUUGCUUAAUGGUUACAAACUGCUGUGAAAAUUUAGCAUUAAAAGCUUUGAUCAUGCAACUUCGUAAUUACUGGUUGCUUCUCAAGUGUGUAACUGUGAGUACUGCUAGUCGUGGGUUCUCAGGAGUUUCUUCCUCCUUGCUUGUUUAGCCAUGAGUGAAUUUAAAAAUCUUAUGAGUUAUAUACUAUAUGUAUAUAGUUAAUCCACAGGAUUUUUAUACGUAUAUUAUGUGUGUGUGUAUAUAUAUAUUUAUAAAUUUUCUCCUUUUAGUCUCGGGCUGAUGUGGAAGGUGGACAGAAGAACCAAGGUGUGUGGAAAGAUGAGUUCUGCUGGAAACUGGGGCUGGCUGGUACCUUCCACCUGCUGGGCGUGGGAGUACAGAGGUGUCACCUGCUGUCACACCACCACUGCCUGUGGCCCUGUCGGACCCUCGUCCCCAAAGACUCUUAGAGCAGCCUGAGGUCACAGUCACCAGAACCUUCCCAGCGUGAGGAAGCGGUGGUUAGCGCCUGAAUUUCCCAAGUUGCCAAGGUCAACAGCUGCAAUUUAUCGAUACUGAAUUUGAGAGACAGCUAAAAUAGGUACCUUUGGACACUGAAAUCAUUCUUCCUGGCCCACCGUUGGAUAAAUGCAGAUCGAUACCUCUGCAUAACAAAAGCAUGAAAAGCAGAAGAUGAGGUUGUAUCCCUCAACCAAAGCCCAAAGGCGUUGUACUCCCACUCUGAAAUACCAGUAUGGACCACAUGGCAGAAUUGGGAUCUGGCAAUAAAAAAUAAAAUAAUGAAAAAAAGAUGCUAGCUGGGAAGUGAUAUUGGAUGCAGAGGAGGUCAGCAGCUCUUGCUGAAUGAGCCCAUCGCGCUGCAGCUGGCAUCAGAGGCUCUUGGGCUGCGGAUGACUUCAGCGCUUUGCAUGCUGGGCUGGGCUGCUCAACACGGCCAAGACUGACUUUUCCAAGGAGCAGUGGGAGCAAUAAACAAAGACAGACUUGGGUAACUCCAGUAA